GUCUAUGGCCUUAGCCCCCUGAACGCACCUGAUCUUGUCUGAUCCAAGAAGCUGAGCAGGGUUGGGCCAGUUAGUACGGUCUGUGUACUUCUCCGUGGGGAGUGCUGCGGGGCUGUGCGGCC
Molecule: ribosomal RNA, 122 nt
Organism: Mustela putorius furo (domestic ferret)
Lineage: Eukaryota; Metazoa; Chordata; Mammalia; Carnivora; Mustelidae
Source: Ensembl